GGUUGUGGCUCAGUGGUAGAGUAUGCGCCUAGCAUGCGUGAGGCCCUGGGUUCGAGCCUCAGCACCA
This 67-nucleotide transfer RNA is filed under the name Marmota monax (woodchuck). RNAcentral describes it as "tRNA.Ala". It matches the Rfam family "tRNA". Rfam says of the family: Transfer RNA (tRNA) molecules are approximately 80 nucleotides in length. Their secondary structure includes four short double-helical elements and three loops (D, anti-codon, and T loops). Lineage: Eukaryota; Metazoa; Chordata; Mammalia; Rodentia; Sciuridae. The record is from RNAcentral.